This 1488-nucleotide ribosomal RNA is filed under the name metagenome. Its description in RNAcentral is "bacterial SSU rRNA". It matches the Rfam family "Bacterial small subunit ribosomal RNA". The record is from RNAcentral.
AGAGUUUGAUCCUGGCUCAGAAUGAACGCUGGCGGCAUGGAUUAGGCAUGCAAGUCGAACGGUGAAUUCUCCUUCGGGAGAAGGAUCAGUGGCGAAAGGGUGAGUAGCGCGUGAGUAACCUACCCUUGAGUUCGGAAUAACCCUGGGAAACUGGGUGUAAUACCGGAUGUGGCUCCUCGGUCGCAUGACCGAGAAGCUGAAGGCGGCAACGCCGCUCGAGGAUGGACUCGCGUCCUAUCAGCUUGUUGGUGGGGUAACGGCCUACCAAGGCGAUGACAGGUAGCUGGUCUGAGAGGAUGGUCAGCCACACUGGGACUGAGACACUGCCCAGACUCCUACGGGAGGCUGCAGUCGAGAAUCUUCCGCAAUGGGCGAAAGCCUGACGGAGCGAUGCCGCGUGAGGGAUGAAGGCCUUCGGGUUGUAAACCUCUGUCACCCGGGACGAAGAAGUGACGGUACCGGGAGAGGAAGCCACGGCUAACUACGUGCCAGCAGCCGCGGUAAUACGUAGGUGGCGAGCGUUAUUCGGAUUUACUGGGCGUAAAGGGUCCGCAGGGGGUCUGCCAAGUCUGAUGUGAAAGCCCGUGGCUCAACCACGGAAGUGCAUUGGAAACUGGUGGACUUGAGUGUGCGAGAGGAGAGUGGAAUUCCUGGUGUAGCGGUGGAAUGCGUAGAUAUCAGGAGGAACACCGAUGGCGAAGGCAGCUCUCUGGCGUACUACUGACCCUCAUGGACGAAAGCGUGGGUAGCAAACAGGAUUAGAUACCCUGGUAGUCCACGCUGUAAACGGUGUGCACUAGAUGUGGGAAGGCUUUGGUCCCUCCCGUGUCCAAGCUAACGCGUUAAGUGCACCGCCUGGGGACUACGGCCGCAAGGCUAAAACUCAAAGGAAUUGACGGGGGCCCGCACAAGCGGUGGAGCAUGUGGCUCAAUUCGAGGCAACGCGAAGAACCUUACCUGGGUUUGACAUGUACCGGACAGCCUGUGAAAGCAGGUUUUCCUUCGGGAUCGGUACACAGGUGCUGCAUGGCUGUCGUCAGCUCGUGUCGUGAGAUGUUCGGUUAAGUCCGGCAACGAGCGCAACCCGCGUCACUAGUUGCUACCAGGUAAUGCUGGGCACCCUAGUGAGACUGCCCGUGUCAAGCGGGAGGAAGGCGCGGAUGACGUCAAGUCAGUAUGGCCCUUACAUCCAGGGCUGCACACGUGCUACAAUGGGCGGUACAGUAAGACGCGAUACCGCGAGGUGGAGCAAAUCUUCAAAACCGUCCUCAGUUCGGAUUGGAGUCUGCAAUUCGACUCCAUGAAGUUGGAAUCGCUAGUAAAGGCGCAUCAGCAACGGCGCCUUGAAUACGUUCCCGGGCCUUGUACACACCGCCCGUCACAUCAUGGAAGCCGGUUGCACCCGAAGUCACUGGCUCAACCCCGCUUCGGUGGGGAGAGAGGUGCCGAAGGUGUGGCCGGUAACUGGGAUGAAGUCGUAACAAGGUA